GAUGAACGCUGGCGGCGUGCCUAAUACAUGCAAGUCGAGCGAAUGGAUUAAGAGCUUGCUCUUAUGAAGUUAGCGGCGGACGGGUGAGUAACACGUGGGUAACCUGCCCAUAAGACUGGGAUAACUCCGGGAACCCGGGGCUAAUACCGGAUAACAUUUUGAACCGCAUGGUUCGAAAUUGAAAGGCGGCUUCGGCUGUCACUUAUGGAUGGCCCCGCGUCGCAUUAGCUAGUUGGUGAGGUAACGGCUCACCAAGGCAACGAUGCGUAGCCGAGCUGAGAGUGUAAUCGACCACGCGGUGUCUGAGACACGGCCCAUACUCCUACGGGAGGCAGCAGUAGGGAAUCUUCCGUAAUGGACGAAAGUCUGACGGAGCAACGCCGCGUGAGUGAUGACGGCUUUCGGGUCGUAAAACGCUGUUGUUAGGGAAGAACAAAUGCUAGUUGAAUAAGCUGGCACCUUGACGGUACCUAACCAGAAAGCACGGCUAACUACGUGCCAGCCGCCGCAGUAA
This 514-nucleotide ribosomal RNA is filed under the name uncultured bacterium. RNAcentral's name for it is "partial 16S ribosomal RNA". It matches the Rfam family "Bacterial small subunit ribosomal RNA", at positions 28 to 523 of the family's 1533-position model. The record is from RNAcentral.